This 589-nucleotide long non-coding RNA is filed under the name Vigna radiata. RNAcentral describes it as "long non-coding RNA (VRAD_LNC006772)". The record is from RNAcentral. Lineage: Eukaryota; Viridiplantae; Streptophyta; Magnoliopsida; Fabales; Fabaceae.
UCACUGUGUGAUGCCUGAUGAGGUGUUGUAUUAGUGAUAAAGUGAGAGCGAUUUGUGUGUGGGUGAUGAUCAGAGGAAUGGAUUGUCAUGGAAGAGUGUGGUGUUCGUUGGGAUGGUUACGCUUGAGAGGAGCCAGGGGUCGUCAGCGUUUGGUGAUGAGCAAAAUGAUAGUGUGCCUGAUGCGUGAUGAGCCCUUGGUAAUCAGAGGGGAAUUCUCUGUUAUGCCUGAUGCCCCCAUUCUGUUAUGUCGUGUAUUGCCCCCUACAAUCAAAAGUGUCUAUCAAGUUUGUUGGGGUGGAACCAAGUGGUGGGGAGCCUUGGCCGUAUUGGUGUUGAUGGUGUCGUUGUGAAGGGAAUAGGAUUCUGUUAUGUGGAAUCCACAGUAACGUGAAAAAUGUGCAUGAAGGAUGAUGGUGUUGCUACUAGCUUUUCCUCAAUUUUCUUUUUUUAUUUUUUUUCUUUUUUUUUCUUUUCUUUUUUCUUUUUCAAUUUCUUUGUUUUUUUGGGUUAAAUAUGUUUUUAGUCCCUAUACUUUGGAGCGAUUUUGGUUUUAGUCCCUCUUUCAAACUAUGGUACAAUUUAGUCCUCC